Molecule: non-coding RNA, 83 nt
Filed under: Aquimonas voraii
Lineage: Bacteria; Pseudomonadati; Pseudomonadota; Gammaproteobacteria; Lysobacterales; Lysobacteraceae
Source: RNAcentral
UUCUACGGCGGGCGGUGCGCGGGAGCCGCAAGGCUCGCCGGUCCUCAGGCCGGUCUUCCAACCGCGUACCGUCCGCCACCCCG